RNAcentral lists this ribosomal RNA (751 nucleotides) under uncultured Capnocytophaga sp. RNAcentral describes it as "bacterial SSU rRNA". It matches the Rfam family "Bacterial small subunit ribosomal RNA", at positions 27 to 776 of the family's 1533-position model. Lineage: Bacteria; Pseudomonadati; Bacteroidota; Flavobacteriia; Flavobacteriales; Flavobacteriaceae. The record is from RNAcentral.
GGAUGAACGCUAGCGGCAGGCCUAACACAUGCAAGUCGAGGGAGAGGUUAUCUUUCGGGUAACCAAAACCGGCGCACGGGUGCGUAACGCGUAUACAAUCUGCCUUUCACAUAGGGAUAGCCCGAAGAAAUUUGGAUUAAUACCUAAUGGUAUAUAGGAGCGGCAUCGUUUUUAUAUUAAAGCUACGGUGGUGAAAGAUGAGUAUGCGUUCUAUUAGCUAGUUGGAGAGGUAACGGCUCCCCAAGGCGACGAUAGAUAGGGGUUCUGAGAGGGAUGUCCCCCACACUGGUACUGAGAUACGGACCAGACUCCUACGGGAGGCAGCAGUGAGGAAUAUUGGACAAUGGUCGGAAGACUGAUCCAGCCAUGCCGCGUGCAGGAUGAAGGUCCUAUGGAUUGUAAACUGCUUUUGUAAGGGAAGAAUAAGGAGUACGUGUACUUUGAUGACGGUACCUUACGAAUAAGCAUCGGCUAACUCCGUGCCAGCAGCCGCGGUAAUACGGAGGAUGCGAGCGUUAUCCGGAAUCAUUGGGUUUAAAGGGUCCGUAGGCGGGCUGAUAAGUCAGAGGUGAAAGCGCUUAGCUCAACUAAGCAACUGCCUUUGAAACUGUCAGUCUUGAAUGAUUGUGAAGUAGUUGGAAUGUGUAGUGUAGCGGUGAAAUGCUUAGAUAUUACACAGAACACCGAUAGCGAAGGCAUAUUACUAACAAUUUAUUGACGCUGAUGGACGAAAGCGUGGGGAGCGAACAGG